This 59-nucleotide microRNA precursor is filed under the name Callorhinchus milii (elephant shark). RNAcentral's name for it is "Cmi-Mir-126-P4_pre stem-loop". Lineage: Eukaryota; Metazoa; Chordata; Chondrichthyes; Chimaeriformes; Callorhinchidae. The record is from RNAcentral.
CGUUAUGACUCCUGGCCCGCGCUGUGACUAUCGAUCCACGUACCGGGAGUGAUAAUGCA